RNAcentral lists this ribosomal RNA (903 nucleotides) under Aureobasidium sp. RNAcentral's name for it is "partial large subunit ribosomal RNA". It matches the Rfam family "Eukaryotic large subunit ribosomal RNA", at positions 39 to 960 of the family's 3401-position model. The record is from RNAcentral. Lineage: Eukaryota; Fungi; Ascomycota; Dothideomycetes; Dothideales; Saccotheciaceae.
CAUAUCAAUAAGCGGAGGAAAAGAAACCAACAGGGAUUGCCCUAGUAACGGCGAGUGAAGCGGCAACAGCUCAAAUUUGAAAGCUAGCCUUCGGGUUCGCAUUGUAAUUUGUAGAGGAUGAUUUGGGGAAGCCGCCUGUCUAAGUUCCUUGGAACAGGACGUCAUAGAGGGUGAGAAUCCCGUAUGUGACAGGAAAUGGCACCCUAUGUAAAUCUCCUUCGACGAGUCGAGUUGUUUGGGAAUGCAGCUCUAAAUGGGAGGUAAAUUUCUUCUAAAGCUAAAUAUUGGCGAGAGACCGAUAGCGCACAAGUAGAGUGAUCGAAAGAUGAAAAGCACUUUGGAAAGAGAGUUAAAAAGCACGUGAAAUUGUUGAAAGGGAAGCGCUUGCAAUCAGACUUGUUUAAACUGUUCGGCCGGUCUUCUGACCGGUUUACUCAGUUUGGACAGGCCAGCAUCAGUUUCGGCGGCCGGAUAAAGGCUCUGGGAAUGUGGCCUCCACUUCGGUGGAGGUGUUAUAGCCCAGGGUGUAAUACGGCCAGCCGGGACUGAGGUCCGCGCUUCGGCUAGGAUGCUGGCGUAAUGGUUGUAAGCGACCCGUCUUGAAACACGGACCAAGGAGUCUAACAUCUAUGCGAGUGUUCGGGUGUCAAACCCCUGCGCGUAAUGAAAGUGAACGGAGGUGGGAACCCGCAAGGGUGCACCAUCGACCGAUCCUGAUGUCUUCGGAUGGAUUUGAGUAAGAGCAUAGCUGUUGGGACCCGAAAGAUGGUGAACUAUGCCUGAAUAGGGUGAAGCCAGAGGAAACUCUGGUGGAGGCUCGCAGCGGUUCUGACGUGCAAAUCGAUCGUCAAAUUUGGGUAUAGGGGCGAAAGACUAAUCGAACCAUCUAGUAGCUGGUUCUGC